Molecule: ribosomal RNA, 342 nt
Filed under: uncultured bacterium
Lineage: Bacteria
Description: partial 16S ribosomal RNA
Rfam family: Bacterial small subunit ribosomal RNA
Source: RNAcentral
CUUUUAAGUCAGNNAGUGAAAUCCNGAGGCUCAACCUCGGAACUGCCUUUGNUACUGGAANUCUUGAGUCCGGGAGAGGUGAGUGGAACUGNGAGUGUAGAGGUGAAAUUNGUAGAUAUUNGCAAGAACACCAGUGGCGAAGGCGGCUCACUGGCCCGGAACUGACGCUGAGGCACGAAAGCGUGGGGAGCAAACAGGAUUGGAUACCCUGGUAGUCCACGCCUUAAACGAUGAAUGCUAGCCGUUGGUCAGCUUGCUGAUCCGUGGCGCCGUUAACACAUUAAGCAUUCCGCCUGGGGAGUACGGUCGCAAGAUUAAAACUCAAAGGAAUUGNCGGAUNGG